UCCGGUUUGACACCGGCAGUCUCCUAUGAGUCCCCGACAUGACUCGCUGGCAACAUAGGACAGGGGUUGCGCUCGUUGCGGGACUUAACCCAACACCUCACGGCACGAGCUGACGUCAACCAUGCACCACCUGUAUACGGCCCCGAAGGACACCAUAUCUCUGAGCGUUUCCUGUGCAGUUCAAACCCAGGUAAGGUUCUGCGCGUUGCUUCGAAUUAAACCACAUACUCCACCGCUUGUGCGGGCCCCCGUCAAUUCCUUUGAGUUUCAGUCUUGCGACCGUACUCCCCAGGCGGCGAACUUAACGCGUUAGCUUCGAUACUGCGUGCCAAAUUGCACCCAACAUCCAGUUCGCAUCGUUUAGGGCGUGGACUAC
This 376-nucleotide unclassified non-coding RNA is filed under the name uncultured bacterium. RNAcentral describes it as "contains 16S-23S intergenic spacer region". The record is from RNAcentral.